Molecule: ribosomal RNA, 484 nt
Filed under: uncultured bacterium
Lineage: Bacteria
Description: partial 16S ribosomal RNA
Rfam family: Bacterial small subunit ribosomal RNA
Source: RNAcentral
AUGAACGCUAGCUACAGGCUUAACACCUGCAAGUCGAGGGGCAGCAUGACCUAGCAAUAGGUUGAUGGCGACCGGCGCACGGGUGAGUAACACGUAUCCAACCUGCCGAUUAUUCCGGGAUAGCCUUUCGAAAGAAAGAUUAAUACUGGAUAGCAUAACGAGAAGGCAUCUUCUUGUUAUUAAAGAAUUUCGAUAAUCGAUGGGGAUGCGUUCCAUUAGUUUGUUGGCGGGGUAACGGCCCACCAAGACAUCGAUGGAUAGGGGUUCUGAGAGGAAGGUCCCCCACAUUGGAACUGAGACACGGUCCAAACUCCUACGGGAGGCAGCAGUGAGGAAUAUUGGUCAAUGGACGAGAGUCUGAACCAGCCAAGUAGCGUGAAGGAUGACUGCCCUAUGGGUUGUAAACUUCUUUUAUAUGGGAAUAAAGUGGGCCACGUGUGGCUUUUUGUAUGUACCAUACGAAUAAGGAUCGGCUAACUCCGUG